GAUGAACGCUGGCGGCGUGCCUAAUACAUGCAAGUCGAGCGAACAGACGAGGAGCUUGCUCCUCUGACGUUAGCGGCGGACGGGUGAGUAACACGUGGAUAACCUACCUAUAAGACGGGGAUAACUUCGGGAAACCGGAGCUAAUACCGGAUAAUAUAUUGAACCGCAUGGGUCAAUAGUGAAAGACGGUUUUUCUGUCACGUAUAGAUGGAUCUGCGCCGUAUUAGCUAGUUGGUAAGGUAACGGCUUACCAAGGCAACGAUGCGUAGCCGACCGGAGAGGGGGGUAGGCCGCACUGGAACGGAGACGCGGACAAGAGGCCUAAGGGACGGCGCAGAAGGGAAUGGGACGCAGCAGGCGAGAACAUGGCGGAACGACGGGAAGCCAGAGACGAAGGUGCUGGGUUCGUAAUAAUGGGUUACUAGGGAAGAACAGAUGUGUACGUAGCUAUGCAGGUAUUGACGGUAACUGGUAAGAAAGCAACGGCUAACUACGUG
RNAcentral lists this ribosomal RNA (497 nucleotides) under uncultured bacterium. RNAcentral describes it as "partial 16S ribosomal RNA". It matches the Rfam family "Bacterial small subunit ribosomal RNA", at positions 28 to 507 of the family's 1533-position model. The record is from RNAcentral.